This 875-nucleotide small RNA is filed under the name Histoplasma capsulatum. RNAcentral describes it as "hypothetical RNA". The record is from RNAcentral. Lineage: Eukaryota; Fungi; Ascomycota; Eurotiomycetes; Onygenales; Ajellomycetaceae. RNAcentral also lists the same sequence under 1 other name.
AAACCAUCUUGGCCCUCUUUCCGCGAAACCCUAGGCUUCUACACAGAGCGGCAGCGUGCGUGGCGUUGUGCAAAGUGGAGCGACAAAAAAUUUUAAGUUAGGGGAUGGUGGUAAAUUUUCGGCUUUAUGGUGAGUAUAGGAACUGGAGAUCUGACCAUCGGUGUUGGACAGUGCAUUUACCACUGCUGGAAUGAAUUUAUACAGAAUAUAAACUGGAACUCUUGAGGAUUUGGGAUGAUUCGGGAGGAUUUGGAGAAAACGACUCUGAUCAACUUGUGUAACUGACAAAUGCACGCCACUACUUGAUGAAUCCCUCAACCUUGUGCCCAGUUUUGAAAGAGAAAGAAUUCACAACUGUUCAGAAUCAUGAUAUUCAUUCCUCACCCCACCCAUCCCUCACUCUAUCGCCCAAUACUUGUCCCAGGUCGGCUUUAUUGCCCCUUCUCUCCUACAGUUAAUAGUAACCUAAGUACAGUAAAGAUGAUCAUGGUCUUUCAUGUUAUGGUAUGUUUGUAGGAAGUCCCUCCCCAGGAAUGUAUGUACUGUACGUAUGUAGCAUUAAACAAAGAAGCGGAUGAAAAAAAAAAGAUAAAAAAUAAAAAGCGAGCGGAUCUAGACCUAAACCGAACAACUCACAUAUUUUAAAAAGAAGAAGAAAAAGAGGACGAAGAGGAAGAGGAAAUAUAUAAACACUAUCCCCGCUGCACAUACUCCCUCGCCUCCUGCGGCGUAAGUCGCUUCCCCGUCUUAUCAUAGAACCGCGAACUAAUCCGCAGCCAUUUCUCCUCAUCAUACUGCGCCGCCAGCCGAUUGAGGAGCAAUAUCUCCUCGAGGCUGAAAUUCUCGUCAACGUAGAGGAUUUUCUUCUUGUGGGG